Molecule: non-coding RNA, 151 nt
Filed under: Thalassovita mediterranea
Lineage: Bacteria; Pseudomonadati; Pseudomonadota; Alphaproteobacteria; Rhodobacterales; Roseobacteraceae
Description: Thalassobius mediterraneus FMN sequence
Rfam family: FMN riboswitch aptamer (RFN element)
About the family: The RFN element is a highly conserved domain that is found frequently in the 5'-untranslated regions of prokaryotic mRNAs that encode for flavin mononucleotide (FMN) biosynthesis and transport proteins.
Source: Rfam by way of RNAcentral
GCGCGUUCUCAGGGCGGGGUGAAAUUCCCCACCGGCGGUAACGGCGCACGCGCCGAAGCCCGCGAGCGCCACCUUCGUCACUGGAGGUGGGUCAGCAGAUUUGGUGCAACUCCAGAGCCGACGGUCAUAGUCCGGAUGGAAGAGAGCGACA